UUACGGCCACACCACGUUGAAACACCGGUCUCCGUAUGAUUACCGAGGUUAAGCAACAUCGAGCCUGGUCAGUAUCUAGAUGAGUGACCGCUUGGAAAUACCAGAAAUUGUA
This is a non-coding RNA of Acanthosepion pharaonis, 112 nucleotides long. Lineage: Eukaryota; Metazoa; Mollusca; Cephalopoda; Sepiida; Sepiidae. The record is from the annotation of a GenBank genome assembly.